RNAcentral lists this ribosomal RNA (307 nucleotides) under uncultured microorganism. RNAcentral describes it as "bacterial SSU rRNA". It matches the Rfam family "Archaeal small subunit ribosomal RNA", at positions 330 to 633 of the family's 1478-position model. The record is from RNAcentral.
GUGCACCAGUCGAGAAACCUCCGCAAUACACGAAAGUGUGACGGGGCCAUCCCGAGUGCCGUCCGCUGAGGACGGGCUUUUCCCCAGUGUACAUAGCUGGGGGGAAUAAGGAGAGGGCAAGCCUGGUGUCAGCCGCCGCGGUAAUACCAGGCUCUCCGAGGUGGUGGGGACGCUUAUUGGGCCUAAAGCAUCCGUAGGCCGGCUGGGCAAGUCCUCCGUUAAAUCCAACGAUUCAAUCGUUGGGCUGCGGGGGAUACUGUCCAGGCUUGGGGGCGGGAGAGGCCGACGGUAUUCCCGGGGUAGGGGU